CCAAAAGCUGAGGAAAAGGAACCAACCGGGAUUGCCUUAGUAACGGCGAGUGAAGCGGCAAAAGCUCAAAUUUGAAAUCUAGUACCUUCGGUGCUCGAGUUGUAAUUUGUAGAGGGAUACUUUGGGGCCGUCUCUUAUCUAUGUUCCUUGGAACAGGACGUCAUAGAGGGUGAGAAUCCCGUAUGAUGAGAGUCGCGGUUCUUUGUAAAGUUCCUUCGAAGAGUCGAGUUGUUUGGGAAUGCAGCUCUAAGUGGGUGGUAAAUUCCAUCUAAAGCUAAAUAUUGGCGAGAGACCGAUAGCGAACAAGUACAGUGAUGGAAAGAUGAAAAGAACUUUGAAAAGAGAGUGAAAAAGUACGUGAAAUUGUUGAAAGGGAAGGGCAUUUGAUCAGACAUGGUGUUUUGCGCCCUCUGCUCCUUGUGGGUGGGGGAAUCUCGCAGCUCACUGGGCCAGCAUCAGUUUUGGCGGUAGGAUAAAUCCAUAGGAAUGUGGCUUGCUUCGGUAAGUGUUAUAGCCUGUGGGAAUACUGCCAGCCGGGACUGAGGACUGCGACAUUCGUCAAGGAUGCUGGCAUAAUGGUUAUAUGCCGCCCGUCUGA
Molecule: ribosomal RNA, 598 nt
Filed under: Jamesozyma hellenica
Lineage: Eukaryota; Fungi; Ascomycota; Saccharomycetes; Saccharomycetales; Saccharomycetaceae
Description: eukaryotic LSU rRNA
Rfam family: Eukaryotic large subunit ribosomal RNA
Source: RNAcentral